RNAcentral lists this ribosomal RNA (460 nucleotides) under uncultured bacterium. RNAcentral's name for it is "partial 16S ribosomal RNA". It matches the Rfam family "Bacterial small subunit ribosomal RNA", at positions 338 to 795 of the family's 1533-position model. The record is from RNAcentral.
CCUACGGGAGGCAGCAGUGAGGAAUAUUGGUCAAUGGGCGCGAGCCUGAACCAGCCAAGUAGCGUGAAGGAUGACUGCCCUACGGGUUGUAAACUUCUUUUAUAAAGGAAUAAAGUGCGGCACGUGUGCCUUUUUGUAUGUACCUUAUGAAUAAGGAUCGGCUAACUCCGUGCCAGCAGCCGCGGUAAUACGGAGGGUCCGCGCGUUAUCCGGAUUUAUUGGGUUUAAAGGGAGCGUAGAUGGGUUGUUAAGUCAGUUGUGAAAGUUUGCGGCUCAACCGUAAAAUUGCAAUUGAAACUGGCAGCCUUGAGUACGGGUGAGGUAGGCGGAAUUCGUGGUGUAGCGGUGAAAUGCUUAGAUAUCACGAAGAACUCCGAUUGCGAAGGCAGCUUACUAAACUGCAACUGACAUUGAUGCUCGAAAGUGUGGGUAUCAAACAGGAUUAGAUACCCGGGUAGUC